AGCCAUUUUUUUCGGUCAAGUCGAACUUUGCUUGAUAAUCUGAUAUUCACUCAGCUGACUAACUCUAGUUGCUGUAAAAUUUUCAUUCACAACAAAUCUUAUCGUCAAUAGUUUGUGUUUUGUGAUCGAAUCGAGCAGAGAAAAAAAUCGUAGAAAAAUGUCGUUGUCAGCUCAUCAGGCGCGCCGUGAACAUGUUUUGGCUGUUUCACGGGAUUUCAACUCUCAGCCAAGAUUAACCUACAAGACAGUUUCUGGUGUAAACGGUCCAUUGGUUAUUUUGGAUGAAGUGAAGUUCCCAAAAUUCGCUGAAAUCGUUCAGCUCCGUUUGAGCGAUGGAACCAUUCGUUCUGGUCAAGUGCUUGAGGUGAGCGGUACAAAAGCUGUCGUUCAAGUGUUUGAAGGCACAUCAGGCAUCGAUGCGAAAAACACACUUUGCGAAUUCACUGGUGACAUUUUGCGUACCCCAGUCUCCGAAGAUAUGUUGGGUCGUGUAUUCAACGGCUCUGGAAAACCAAUUGACAAAGGUCCACCAAUUUUGGCCGAAGAUUUCUUAGAUAUUCAAGGCCAACCCAUUAACCCAUGGUCACGUAUCUAUCCAGAGGAAAUGAUCCAAACUGGUAUCUCAGCUAUUGAUGUGAUGAACUCAAUUGCUCGUGGUCAAAAGAUUCCAAUUUUCUCCGCUGCUGGUUUGCCACACAAUGAAAUUGCCGCUCAAAUUUGUCGUCAAGCUGGUCUUGUUAAGCAGACUGGGAAAUCUGUGCUGGAUGACCAUGAAGACAAUUUUGCCAUUGUUUUCGCUGCUAUGGGUGUGAACAUGGAAACGGCGCGUUUCUUCAAGCAAGAUUUUGAAGAGAAUGGUUCCAUGGAAAAUGUGUGCCUGUUCUUGAAUUUGGCAAACGAUCCAACCAUUGAACGUAUCAUUACGCCACGUUUGGCACUUACCGCCGCCGAAUUCUUGGCCUAUCAAUGCGAAAAGCACGUUUUGGUCAUCUUAACCGAUAUGUCUUCAUAUGCUGAAGCUUUGCGUGAGGUGUCAGCCGCCCGUGAAGAAGUUCCCGGUCGUCGUGGUUUCCCAGGUUAUAUGUACACCGAUUUGGCUACAAUCUACGAACGUGCUGGUCGUGUCGAAGGCCGUAAUGGUUCAAUCACACAAAUACCAAUUUUGACUAUGCCAAACGACGAUAUCACCCAUCCAAUUCCUGAUUUGACUGGAUAUAUUACCGAAGGUCAAAUUUACGUUGAUCGUCAAUUGCACAACAGACAAAUCUAUCCACCAGUCAAUGUGCUUCCAUCGUUGUCACGUUUGAUGAAAUCGGCCAUCGGUGAGGGUAUGACGCGUAAAGACCACUCUGAUGUUUCGAAUCAAUUGUAUGCUUGCUAUGCCAUCGGUAAAGAUGUCCAAGCCAUGAAAGCUGUCGUCGGUGAGGAAGCUCUUACCCCAGAUGAUCUUCUCUACUUGGAAUUCUUGACAAAAUUCGAAAAGAACUUCAUUUCUCAAGGCAACUACGAAAACCGCACAGUAUUCGAAUCAUUGGAAAUUGGAUGGCAAUUGUUGCGUAUUUUCCCAAAAGAAAUGUUGAAACGAAUUCCAGCAUCGAUUUUGGCCGAGUACUAUCCAAGAGACUCACGUCACUAAAGAGAAAUACCAUAAAAACUCAAGCAAAAAUGUGGGCCCCAAAACUAGUGCCCAAAAAAAUCUAAAGAGAAUCAUGUUAUGAGAAAAGAAAAGAAAAAUAUAAUAAAAAAAUCGCAUUUUUGCUCGUGUUUCUUAAACACAAAAACAAACACACACACACACACACACUGUGUGAAGAACCAACAAUACCGUUCACAUAUUUGCCGACAAUACCAACCACAUGAAAAGAAGAUCAUUCUAUAGAUAUGUACAUUUAGAACGAAAAAGUAGAACAGAACUGUAAUUCAGAUUUCGUUAUAAUGAAUUAUUUUAAAAUAAAUUCUCAACCAAAUUGUAUCCCAAUGUAGAGAACUAAUGUAUAGUAGAUAUGUCUUUUUUCUUCUUCGUUUAUUCUAGUUUUAAGUAAAAUUAACAUGAUUAUUUGAUUGGCCUAUUAUUGGACGUUUUUAAGGUUCAGUGUAAAAUAAUUGUCAGUUCAGGCUCAUAUGAAUUCGCUAUAUCGUUGAAAUCAAUCUCUAUUGAAAUAUAAAAACAAAAUCAAUGUCAUUUUUCUCUCUCAGUUGUUGUGCUUUACUCAAUGGGUAACAGCAUUCUGUCAAUCGUAUGGAAAUACGACAACAAUUUGUCUGCAUCCAACAUAGUUAGUUUUGCGAUUAUAGUGGCGCUGCAAUGCUCAAGUAUGUUACUGUAUUCGAAGAAGAUCCACAGAAAAGGGAAUGAAAUUUUUUCGUUAUGAUUUUUUUCUAUUGAAUUUUUUUGAAUGUAUUUUACAUUACAAAAACGACUACUGCGGCGCUGCGAACGUUUUGAAAGGUAUAAAAGUCAAUUGUUAGCAGGCAUUGGCUUUACUCAUUGUCCUAUAUAUUUUGAAAAUCAAAUGAAAACUGCUUUCCCUGAACUAGACCAUCUAACCAGGUGACCAAGUGAAAUUGACUUAGUUUGGAGUUAAAUCGUACAAAUCGGGGCAUGUCCAAACCACCAGAAAAAAAUACAACACACAAUACCAUUCAGUUCCAAAGUGUAUAUUUAGUUUGGGAAUAAUUUGCUCUUACAAUCUAACGCAGAGAGAGAGAGAGAGAGAGAUUACGAGUGUCACCUGGGCAACUGAUUCAUAUGACCAAAAACCACUGCAAUGAAUGCAUUGCAAAUGCAUUCUCGCAUCGUUCCAGUUCUAUUAUCCUCUUUACUUUGCUCCAUUGAAAUAGUUCGACAGAGACUAAUGUUCUCUUGCAAAAAAUGAUACUAAAAAAUCUAUAUUAUGUAUGUAUAUGUAAGAGAGGAAGUAAGGUCAUACAGAAUGGAAAAGAACGCACGUUCUGAUUUGAUCAAUUGAACACGGAUUCAAUCAUAUGAAUUUUAUUUUCAUUAAAUGCAUCAUAUUAGCAUUCCAUAGUUGCCAGAUAAAAGAGAUGAUUGUUAAUAAAAUAAACACAGAGAAUAAACCCAAAUAAAAGUAAAUGGAAAUGUUGAAAAGUAAA
Sitodiplosis mosellana (orange wheat blossom midge) is the source of this 3114-nucleotide RNA transcript. It is a transcript of the gene named V-type proton ATPase subunit B, with no coding region annotated. NCBI's taxonomy places the organism in Eukaryota, Metazoa, Arthropoda, Insecta, Diptera, Cecidomyiidae. The record is from RefSeq and is a predicted model, not a curated record. The transcript is spliced from 5 exons.